UACGUAGGGUGCAAGCGUUGUCCGGAAUUAUUGGGCGUAAAGAGCUCGUAGGCGGUCUGUCGCGUCUGCUGUGAAAAUCCAGGGCUCAACCCUGGACCUGCAGUGGGUACGGGCAGACUAGAGUGCGGUAGGGGAGAUCGGAAUUCCUGGUGUAGCGGUGAAAUGCGCAGAUAUCAGGAGGAACACCAAUGGCGAAGGCAGCUCGCUGGGACGGUACUGACGCUGAGGCGCGAAAGCGUGGGGAGCAAACAGG
This 253-nucleotide ribosomal RNA is filed under the name uncultured bacterium. RNAcentral's name for it is "partial 16S ribosomal RNA". It matches the Rfam family "Bacterial small subunit ribosomal RNA", at positions 524 to 776 of the family's 1533-position model. The record is from RNAcentral.